This 448-nucleotide ribosomal RNA is filed under the name uncultured Planctomycetota bacterium. RNAcentral's name for it is "bacterial SSU rRNA". It matches the Rfam family "Bacterial small subunit ribosomal RNA", at positions 217 to 656 of the family's 1533-position model. The record is from RNAcentral. Lineage: Bacteria; Pseudomonadati; Planctomycetota.
GCUUAGAGAGGGGUCAGUGUCCUAUCAGCUAGUUGGUAAGGUAAUGGCUUACCAAGGCUAAGACGGGUAGCCGGCCUGAGAGGGUGGUCGGCCACACUGGGACUGAGACACUGCCCAGACUCCUACGGGAGGCUGCAGUCGAGAAUCUUUCGCAAUGCCCGAAAGGGUGACGAAGCGACGCCGCGUGUGGGAAGAAGGCCUUCGGGUUGUAAACCACUGUCGGGAGUUAAGAAAUGUAAGGGUGUUAAUAGCAUCCUUACUUGACUAAGGCUCCGGAGGAAGCCACGGCUAACUCUGUGCCAGCAGCCGCGGUAAUACAGAGGCGGCAAGCGUUGUUCGGAAUUAUUGGGCGUAAAGAGCACGUAGGCGGCUUUGUAAGUCAGUUGUGAAAGCCUUCCGCUUAACGGAAGAACAGCAUCUGAUACUGCAAGGCUAGAGUGCGGAAGGG